Molecule: ribosomal RNA, 236 nt
Filed under: uncultured bacterium
Lineage: Bacteria
Description: partial 16S ribosomal RNA
Rfam family: Bacterial small subunit ribosomal RNA
Source: RNAcentral
UGGCGGGAGGGUGAGUAAUGUCUGGGAAACUGCCUGAUGGAGGGGGGUAACUACUGGAAACGGUAGCUAAUACCGCAUAACGUCGCAAGACCAAAGAGGGGGACCGUUCGGGCCUCUUGCCAUCGGAUGUGCCCAGAUGGGAUUAGCUAGUAGGUGGGGUAACGGCUCACCUAGGCGACGAUCCCUAGCUGGUCUGAGAGGAUGACCAGCCACACUGGAACUGAGACACGGUCCAG